CUACUCCUUCCCUGCACAUGACUUCCCAUUGUCAUAGACUCAACCAAGUCAAGGACACACAAUAUCAAGUCAAGCAUUGCAGGAUCUUGCAAUGGCUAGAAGAUUAGAAAAAAGACCAUGAGAAAAAUACCUUUUUGUUGAGAAGAGUCAGCUAUGGUGGAGCAACAGAGAAAAAACACAGAGCAGAAGAUGGAGAAGAAAGAUUUUUUUUUUGAAGUGUUUUUUUGUUGCUGUGUGCAUGGAAUGUUUAAUAUUCUGUUUUUUGAGAGGUCCAACGGCUAUAUUUUUGUAAAAAGCUAACUUAAAUGGGUUUCCCUUUAUUUAAUUAUUGGUAAAUGGUAAAUGUAACUGUUUUUUUGUCGUUUAGUGGCUUUUAUUUAGUUUCCUUUUAAUUUAAAUGCAUUUUAACGGACGUUAGUGACGGAAAACAAAAAGCAGCGUUUUCCAUCCAUUUUGAGGGACCUAAAUGCUCCUUUUGAAACUUGAGGGACUAAACUGCUCCUUUUGGCAAAGUUUAGGGACCUUCAGACCUGUUUACUCGUAACUUUACUGUCAGGCGGCCUGACGCUCACGCGUCUGUCAGACCACAUGGUUUGCCCACGCGCGCGUGGGGUCACGCGCAAUAUAAAUAUAGUUUUUUUUCUUCGUUUUUCAUUCAAUUCGAGCCUGAAGCUCCCCUCCCCUCUCCUCUCUCCUGGUUCAUCUCGUUCAAAAUUACUCAAACCCCUGCCUCAGCUCUUUCCUCCUCAUGCGCGCUCCCCCUCUCUCUUCUCAAAUUCGUUGCCUUCCAUAGAAGAUUUUCCGCCGACCUCUCUUCCUCGCCGUUCAUUUGGAUUUUGAUUUUAAGAUUUUGAUUUAGGUUUAGGUUUUUGAUUUUAGGAUUUUGAUUUAGGUUUUUGAUUUUAGGAUUUUGAUUUAGGUUUUUGAUUUUGAUUAUUCACCUGCUGUCGUUGCCGCUGCCUGAGCUCCUCCCCUUCGACCGGAGAUCUUGCGGUGCAGGGGAACAGAGGCGGCGAUUCGCCUCUUUGCAACAACUGCGACCGGAGGUUGAAUAUUCGUUGUUUUAUGGCGGCUGGUGGUCAGCUUAUCGACGGCGCUGCCUGAUCCAUCAUGCUAUGGCGGUCGACAAAUUCACUGGUAAUAAUGUUUGUUGCAGCUGCCAGUGGGAAGUGCAUUAGACCCCUGAGCUGAGAAAUGGUUUGAGCCUCUUUCAAGGCUUGGUCAAUGUUAGUAUUGAUCCUACUAAUCCAGUUGCCAAUCUUACGGUUAUCUCAAAGGCCAGAACAAGUGACUUUUGGGACUUCUCUUCAUGACAACGUCGCUUUGUUUCUCAUAGGACAAAACAUCCAGCAUGUCCUCCACAUUGUAUAAAAUGCUGACUACAUUUCUAAGCCAUGAUUCAACUGUUUUGUCUGCAUCAUUCAUCAUUCAUCUUUUCCUUUUCUUUCUCCUUAACAAGUCCCCUCUUUUUAAGUAAUUAUUGAUUUAGUUUAGUAUGAUUAAAUUGGUUUUAGUUAACAGUAAUUUAUUUUUAGUUAUACUGUUGUUAUAUUUAGUUAUGAAAAAAUGUUUUAGUUA
Spinacia oleracea (spinach) is the source of this 1578-nucleotide long non-coding RNA. RefSeq lists it as uncharacterized. The transcript has 2 exons. The record is from RefSeq and is a predicted model, not a curated record. Lineage: Eukaryota; Viridiplantae; Streptophyta; Magnoliopsida; Caryophyllales; Amaranthaceae.